This 454-nucleotide unclassified non-coding RNA is filed under the name uncultured Mortierella. Its description in RNAcentral is "sequence contains ITS2". The stretch from base 1 to 154 matches the Rfam family "5.8S ribosomal RNA". The record is from RNAcentral. Lineage: Eukaryota; Fungi; Mortierellomycota; Mortierellomycetes; Mortierellales; Mortierellaceae.
AACUUUUGGCAACGGAUCACUUGGCUCUCGCAUCGAUGAAGAACGCAGCGAAAUGCGAUACGUAAUUUGAAUUGCAGAAUUCAGUGAAUCAUCGAAUCUUUGAACGCAUAUUGCGCCCUCUGGUAUUCCGGAGAGCAUGCUUGUUUGAGUAUCAGUAAACACCUCAAAUUCCUCUACUUGCUGGCGGAUUUUGGAAUUGAGCAAUCCCAACUUUUCGAAAUAGAAGGCGGGUUGCUUGAAAUGCAGGUGCAGCUAGAUUUUUCUUCUGAGCUAUAAGCAUACUUAUUUAAUCCCGUAAAACGGAUUAUUACUUUUGCUGCAGCUAACAUAAAGGUUGAAGAAUCGCGUUGGCUGUUUGAUACAGGAUUAACAUCUCGCGUACGCGAUCUGUACACUCGGUCUUACAUCGAGGAGGAAUACCCGCUGACCUUAAGCAUAUGAUAAAUCGGGGGCU